GGUCUGCAACAGGAGUGCAAGCAAAGCAGAUGUAAACUGCACAUUUCUGCACGUGUAUAUUGUGCUUGCUCAACAGAUGUUUUGAUAAA
This is a long non-coding RNA of Myripristis murdjan (pinecone soldierfish), 89 nucleotides long. RefSeq lists it as uncharacterized. The transcript is spliced from 3 exons. Lineage: Eukaryota; Metazoa; Chordata; Actinopteri; Holocentriformes; Holocentridae. The record is from RefSeq and is a predicted model, not a curated record.